UAAGUAUGUUGUGCCUUCAUACCUGGGA
This 28-nucleotide non-coding RNA is filed under the name Mus musculus (house mouse). The record is from RNAcentral. Lineage: Eukaryota; Metazoa; Chordata; Mammalia; Rodentia; Muridae.